AGGGUGCGCUCAGAGCGGGGGGCCCAAGAAAUGAGCUCUCUGUUUACACCGCACCCCACAGGAAUCAGGGCCAGUGUGAUGGGGCGGGAGGGCACAUAGCAGCUGUGCCCCUCUGCACACACACAGGCCCCACAUGU
This is a small nucleolar RNA of Ochotona princeps (American pika), 137 nucleotides long. Lineage: Eukaryota; Metazoa; Chordata; Mammalia; Lagomorpha; Ochotonidae. The record is from Ensembl.